Molecule: long non-coding RNA, 169 nt
Organism: Sinocyclocheilus grahami
Lineage: Eukaryota; Metazoa; Chordata; Actinopteri; Cypriniformes; Cyprinidae
Exons: 2
Source: RefSeq, a predicted model, not a curated record
AAGCUCAACAAAGAUCUGACUAAGUUCCAGACUGAAUCUUUCUGUACAACCAAGGAUACCACUUGAUGGCUGUCCCGAGACCCAUACGCACCGACCUCAUCACCUGUGUAUGAAGCCACCACCUCUGAAAGACAACUAGACCCCCUACCGAGCCAACUGUCCCGGAAAA